UACGUAGGGUGCGAGCGUUAAUCGGAAUUACUGGGCGUAAAGCGUGCGCAGGCGGCUUUGCAAGACAGAUGUGAAAUCCCCGGGCUCAACCUGGGAACUGCAUUUGUGACUGCAAGGCUAGAGUACGGCAGAGGGGGAUGGAAUUCCGCGUGUAGCAGUGAAAUGCGUAGAUAUGCGGAGGAACACCAAUGGCGAAGGCAAUCCCCUGGGCCUGUACUGACGCUCAU
RNAcentral lists this ribosomal RNA (227 nucleotides) under uncultured bacterium. RNAcentral's name for it is "partial 16S ribosomal RNA". It matches the Rfam family "Bacterial small subunit ribosomal RNA", at positions 524 to 750 of the family's 1533-position model. The record is from RNAcentral.